AUACGGAGGGUGCAAGCGUUACUCGGAAUCACUGGGCGUAAAGCGCGCGCAGGCGGCACGGCGCGUCGUCGGUGAAAGACCCGGGCUCAACCUGGGAAACGUCGACGAUACGGCCGAGCUAGAGGAUGCGAGGGGCUGAUGGAACUCACGGUGGAGGGGUGGAAUCCGUUGAGAUCGUGAGGAACACCAAAGGCGAAGGCAUUCAGCUGGCGCAUUACUGACGCUGAGGGAUGAAAGCGUGGGGAGCGAAUGGGAUUAGAAACCCUUUUAGUCC
Molecule: ribosomal RNA, 274 nt
Filed under: uncultured bacterium
Lineage: Bacteria
Description: partial 16S ribosomal RNA
Rfam family: Bacterial small subunit ribosomal RNA
Source: RNAcentral